This 1196-nucleotide long non-coding RNA is filed under the name Homo sapiens (human). RNAcentral describes it as "HSALNT0372301". The record is from RNAcentral. Lineage: Eukaryota; Metazoa; Chordata; Mammalia; Primates; Hominidae.
CUUCAGGAGUGAAGCUGCAGACCUUCGCGUGAUGGAGGUUGAGAAGUCCAACUUCAAGGCACCACAUCUGGUGAGAGCCUUCAUUCCGAUGACAGCCUUCAUGCUGGUAAGAUUUUCUUCAGAGUUCCAAGGUGGUGCACGGCAUCACAUGGCGAAGGAAAUGAGCGUGCUAGCUCAGGUGUCUCUUCCUCUUCUUAUAAAGCCACCAGUCCCACUCCUGUGCUAGUAACUCUUUAAUCCAUCAACCCAUUAAUCCAUGAAUAGAUUAACCCAUGAGGCCUCUGCCCUCAGGACCCAAUCACCUCUUAAAGGCCUGACCUGUCAAUAUUGCCAUACUGGGGACUCAGUUUCAACAUGAGUUUUGAAAGGGACAAACAUUCAAUCCAUAGUAACAUGAGAGCUUUUCAAAGCCCUUCUUUGUUGAAGUAUGUCCUUCUCCAGCCUCUUUUUUCCCAGGCUUUUUGUUUUUUCUAUUGCUUGUGCAGCUGUUAUCCUUUGCUACAGGUGGCAAUAGCUAAUACAUUUGCCUUUAAAUUUGUUUGACAAACACCACCCUGGAAGUAGCCUCAACUCUGGGGAAGCUCCAAGACAGGUAAAAUACAGCAACCUGCAGCAGGAAAAUGGGCUUCAGUUUUCAAGUCUGCAGCUGAGUUGGGAAGUUGCGGACAGUAACCAGAGGAAAGGCCACAUGGGGACAAGAGAGGGCAACUGUCUACAAAUCUGGAAGAGAGACUUCAGAAGAAACCAGCACUGAUGGCAUCUGAUCUUGGACUUCCAGCCUCUGGAUCUAUCUGCCAGAGCCUGAUCUCAUACACACUGAUGUGGUACAGGAAAUGCCACCUGAAAAUAUGGUACCUUGGCAUUUGAGGAAACAGUAGAAGGAGGUCAUAGAAACUAGAAAGAAUUCCUCCUUGCUCUUUGUCCCCCAAAGGAGCCAUAAAACCUGGGCCGAGUUUCUUCUGAAAAUAAGUUAUAAGAUCCUUAUUCCAGAGGGGUCCUGCCCUGUGCCUGGAGGAAAAGAAUGAAGACACAGAGAUGCCUUGAAGAAUCUGAACAAACAGCCCUUGCUAAGUUCCCCCCAGUUUAUUGACAUUAGAUUAGACCUUUUGUCCUCCAAUUAUACUUCUGUGUUCCUGAAAAUACACAUUUUCCCGUUUUUUCUUUUGUUUGCUUUUUUUGAUCUUCAUUUCUGAAGA